GCGUGAGUGAUGAAGGCCUUAGGGUUGUAAAGCUCUUUUACCCGGGAAGAUAAUGACUGUACCGGGAGAAUAAGCCCCGGCUAACUCCGUGCCAGCAGCCGCGGUAAUACGGAGGGGGCUAGCGUUGUUCGGAAUUACUGGGCGUAAAGCGCACGUAGGCGGCUUGGUAAGUUAGAGGUGAAAGCCUGGAGCUCAACUCCAGAAUUGCCUUUAAGACUGCCGAGCUAGCAGGUGAGAGAGGUAAGUGGAAUUCCGAGUGUAGAGGUGAAAUUCGU
This 275-nucleotide ribosomal RNA is filed under the name uncultured bacterium. Its description in RNAcentral is "partial 16S ribosomal RNA". It matches the Rfam family "Bacterial small subunit ribosomal RNA", at positions 399 to 691 of the family's 1533-position model. The record is from RNAcentral.